GCCUCAGUAGCUCAGCCCGGUAGAGCAUCUGAUUUGUAAUCAGACGGUCGGGGGUUCAACUCCCUCCUGGGGCUCCA
Molecule: transfer RNA, 77 nt
Filed under: Methanobacteriota archaeon
Lineage: Archaea; Methanobacteriati; Methanobacteriota
Also listed under: 3 other names
Description: Euryarchaeota archaeon (marine metagenome) tRNA-Thr
Rfam family: tRNA
About the family: Transfer RNA (tRNA) molecules are approximately 80 nucleotides in length.
Source: RNAcentral